ACAAGAUUCGCGUACGUUUUCCAAACAACUUGAACUUCCUCGUAAAUGUGUCGCUAUUUUAUUAAUUCGUCAUUUGUAACUCCCUUCACUUACAAUUCUUUUUCCCCCACCUGUAACCGGAUUCAAGGCAUGUGCUGAAGGCCCCUCUGGUGAAAUCAACACCUCGAAAACAGAGCAGACUGACCCCGCCAAAGCCUCGGAAGCGAGCCAGCACUUCAUUGUUGAUGAAGCCACUCUGUGCUGGGUCGGCCAGGGCCUGAUCCAGAAGGUGGUUGAUGAAGUAAAUGCCAGGCUCCACGGUGAGAACCAUCCUCUCCUGCACCAGGCGGCCCAUUCGAAGACUCUUCAGUCCUGGCUCCUGGAUACGCUCGACUCCCUGCACACAGCAGCAGACGUCGCUCUGCUGACAGCACAUCUAUAGGGUGUUUUUCGUCUUCUAGCAACAAGAGACUUUGAUCAAUACAAAGCGAACCGCAAGUCGUCCUCACCUCCGGGUAACCUCCGACGUCGUGCACGUCGAUGCCCAGCAGGUGACCCAGACCGUGAGGCAUGAAGACUGCUCCCAAGUGGACCUUCAUCAUCUCAUCCACGUUUCCCAUCAGGAUGCCAAUCUUCACCAGCUCCUCCAGGUGGACCCUGUCAGCCAGACGAUGCAUCGCGGUCCACUUCACACCUUGCAGACACAUAAGGAGUCUAUUUUUUUUUCCAUUUCUUGGGUGAUUCUCCUUGAUAAAAGACAUUUCCAACUCAACAUUUUUACCUGGUUAAAUAAAGUGAAUAAUCAACGUCUAAAAUAUCAACCAGCCCAUAAUAAGUUCAUAAUCUGGUAUUAUCUUGAACUGAAAUUGAAUGAUUUCCAACUUAAUUUACUGUGCUAUUUUUUACUGUUUAUUUUGCAAGUAAACUAGGAUGUUUAUCAUUCCAGUAUUUUGCAGAUUAAAAUAAAUAAAUACAUAUAAUCUGCUGCUAUGAGGACCUGGACAUCACUCAAAAAACUACACAGCAUGAAAACAUAACAUGCAGACGGUGUAGAGCUAUGACUGUUGACAUGGAGUACGUGUUUAACCUGGUUUGAUGGCGGCCAUGACAGCUCUGGAGGACUUCAGCACGGCCUCGUAGAUGGCCUUCUGGUCCGGAGUGAACUUCCCGUUGGCGGGGAAAGAGCAUGUGAUGUCGGAAGAGUAGCAGUAGUACUCGCCUCCCAUGUCGAACAGACUGGAGCGAGAGAGGUAAAAAAGAAGGAUAGAAAUAAAAUAGACACAAGAGUCAUAAUGGCUCACUGUCAGUUCCACUAUAUCGCUAAUGUGGCAAUCUACAUCAGGACAGCCCAACAAUUCCUCACCACAUGUCUCCAUCCAGGAUGGUUUUAUCGUUGGGCGCUCCAGCGUGACCGUAGUGGAGAACAGAGGCAUUGUUUCCACUGGUGUAGAAAGACAAGACAUUUACAUACAUGGCUGAACAAUGGAAUCAUGAUUUUGUAAUCCAACAAUAUUAAAUAAUUCAUUCUUGGAUGUGUCGCCUUAAGAACAUGCAGAUGCCACAAACUUCAUAUCUUCAUGAUUCUAUUACAGUCAUUAAUAUUGUGUGGUCCUGAGAUAAAAGUCAGUUGCGAUUUCUGUAUAAACAUGGUUAAACCUGGUUAUGCUCAGGAAGAACAGUGGGGUCGAAACUGCACUUUUGGGAAUAAUGAAAACGGCUUUAUAUAUUUUACUGCAGACAGAUUCUUUCAGUGAGAGGUGAAAAUACACCACAGGUCCUUUGAUAAUGAGUUGAGCUCAAACAUCUCUGGACAUAACAUCUCUUCACUUUGGAACAAGACACUUCACAUCAGAAUUAGAUGAGCUCUUCAUUAUCUGCCACAACUCUAAUCCCACCAUUCCUCACAAUUCUACCUUGAAAUCGUAUCAUGAAAUAUUCCUCAUGUCUACUGCUCCCUAGCACCUUGUUGUGGAAUGAAGAUUAGAGGUUGAAGUGGGGAGUUAUGUUUGACUCUUGAAUCAUUGACUGUUGCUGCCUUACGUUCCACAGAUGCAGGUGUAGGACGUGUGGCGCAUCCCUCCUCUGGUGUAGCAGUAGUGCUGGAACAGGCUGUGGUCGGUGAGAGGGAACAAACGCUCAUUCAGACAAAUGGAAACAGGCAGCAAAACAAUCCCAGCACAGCAGAGAUCACAGAAAACACUAAUUAGCCCGAGAACUUUCUUUGGCCUUUGCCUGACUCUUGCUUUUUAAGAAUUAAUCCCCCUUUCCUUCUUUAAUCAUCACCGGCACUGACACAUCAAAGAGGCCCAGCGCCUUGUGCGACAGGGAGUCAGGCGUUCUGAUAGUUGCUCUUGACAGCAGGUGGAUUUAUGCAUCCACUUCAGUCACACCUUCGGAUCAGGAAAACAAAAAUGAAAAAAAAAAAAAAAAGUAUUUCACGUUAACCAGAUGCUGAAUGUUAAGCACCUUCUACUUUCCAUACAGAAGUGCACAUUUGUUGGUGCCGCAGGAGCAGAGUCAUGUCUGGAGAGUGUGGUUGAAAGAGACAAGACAAGGAAGAAACACAAAGGCUGUCUGGCAGAUCAAGCCUCUGGUGGGAGAUGCAAGAGCCCACCAGAUGGAAUGGAUUUGAACCAGCACCUCAAUGAAACCUCACAUCAUUUCUAAACCACCUACUGAGCUCUGAAGAUGGGGACACCGUUUCAUGAAGCUACUAAUAAGCAAAAAGCUUAAAAACAAUGAAAUGAAAGCCAAAGUGAUUGUUGCUGAUGUUUAAUAGCAACCACAUUUUAAUUAAUAGCAUUAUUUAAACUGAUUAAAAUGAUAUGAGCUUAAAACAAAUUAUUAAAAACAAAACAAUUAUGUGCUACUUCAGAACAUUCAGAUUUUUGGUCCCUUGAAACAAGCAUUCUGUCUUGUGAAAGGCUUAUCUAAACAAAUAACUGACUUAGAAAUAAAGCAGUGAAAAAGCAGUGUCGUAAUUUUGAAAGUUCACUAGGUGGCGCUCUUUCAUUCAAACAGUUGUUUCAGCCCAAAGACUCAGAGUUGACAGUGCCAUCUAGUGGCGUCUGAAAGUGAGGAGACUGUUUCACGAAACAUCAUCAGUCUAUCACUUUGCAAAAUACUUUGCAACAUCUUUGCAAGUACAAAUUGAAGAAAUUGUCUCACAAAAGGAAACUAUAUUAGUCUACUGAGAAAAGAAUAUACUCUAGUAUUCCACGUAAGUGAGCACUGAAGUCAAACACCCACCUCUCCAUUUCGUAUUCCUUCUGUCCGGGCUUCACAUGCUUCAUCACCUGCAGAGUUAAAAAAAAAAUCCACGACAUUUAAAUUACUUGGAUAAUGGUGUUGUUAUUCACCAAACCAUUUACAGAAACCUGCAGGAAUUCUGAAGAAAAAAAAAAAACAGUAUAUGUGUAAACAAACACCUACUUGGUAAUUUUCCAGUAUCUAUGUUUAUCUUAAUGUAAAAAUGAAUGAAUAAAUAAUCAGAAAAAUUCAGGGUUC
Long non-coding RNA from Synchiropus splendidus (mandarinfish), 3486 nucleotides. RefSeq lists it as uncharacterized. Lineage: Eukaryota; Metazoa; Chordata; Actinopteri; Syngnathiformes; Callionymidae. The record is from RefSeq and is a predicted model, not a curated record. The transcript has 4 exons.